GGGCUUAGCACCAUCUGAAAGGCAGAGAUCAACAUAUAUAGGCCAGUGCCUGCCCUCAGGGACUUUAGCCUGGUGGCAGAGCCCACACAUAUGCAGACAACUAUGCUGCCCUCGGUAAGUGUGAAACAGUGGCCUCCCCAGCCUAUGGCUCAUAUAGCUGAAGGUUGGCAAGUCCGUGGAAGGCCGUGAAAAAUCAGAACCUGCCACGCCUGCUUGAGGGAGAUCAGGAAGGCCACACUUCUUUUUUCUUUUUGGUGGUACUGGGGAUUGAACUCAGGGCCUUGUACAUAUGAGGCAAGCACUCAACUGAGCCAGAUUCUCCAGCCCAGGAAGGUGACAUUUCUGAGGGAGCAAGUGAUAGGCCAAAGGGCAGAGGAGGCAGCUGGGUCCAUGAGCCUUGUAAACAGUUUGGUUUCUGUGUAAGUGUGAGGGAAACGAUCAGAAGGGUUUUAGCACAGAAAAGCAGGGAUGGGAUUUAUGCUACAAACAAACAAAAGAUUCUGGCUGCUGGAUGGAGAACAGGAGCAAGAGGCACCAGAAAGGCCAGAGGUGCUGGGAAGUGUGCUCACACAUUUGAACUCAGUCCUUCCCAGCCCUGUGGGGAACUAUCAUUACCUCACGUUACAGACGAGGAAAGCCAGACUUCGAAAGCUGUCCAGCCGGUCAGGGCUGAGAUUCAGAUCUAGACACCAGCCAUGGAUGUGCCUUCUCUGUGCCCUUUGCAGCUUUGCCUUGCUCUGCUUCUAGGUUCCAGCAGAGAAGGGGGCAGAGGAACUCUCCUCUGAGUGACGGUGGAGGCAGGUGGGUUGAGAGAGCAGGGAGAAGAAUCCCUUGCGAGUAGGUUCAUAGAAACACGGAGGCCAAGUGGGUUCAGUUCCCAGUGAAAGGCAGAAGGUCAAGGGUCAAAUGUUUUCUGUCAUAUGUGGAAGUUUCAGAGAGAGAAAAAAAAAUUUUUAAAUGGGAUCUUAUGAAAAUAGAAGGGAGACUAAUAAAAUAGAGAAGGGGAUAGAUAGGGAGAAGAGGAGGGCAUGGGGAAGUCCUGGGAAAUGGAAUUUGACAAAUACUAUGUCCAUGCACAAAUAUACCACCAUGGACAUAGCUCUUAUAUGUAAUUAUAAUGCACUGAGUAAAAUGGUGCCAGGGAACAAGACUCCUAAAGUACAAGAAAUAAAAUCAAGGAUAAGUGGGAUGGACUCCAACUAAAAAGCUUCUUCUCAGCCAAAGAAACUAUCAGUGAGGUGAAGAGAGAGCCUACAUGUAUCUUGGGAGCAAAUUUUUGCCACACACACAUCAGAUAGAGCACUAAUCUCCAGGACAUAUAAAGAACUUAAAAAACUUAACACUAGAAAACCAAAUAACCCAAUCAAUAAAUGGGCUAAGGAGCUGAAUAGACACUUCUCAGAAGAAGAUAUACAUUCGAUCAACAAAUAUAUGAAAAAAUGUUCAAUAUCUCUAGUAAUUAGAGAAAUGCAAAUCAAAACUAAGGUUUCAUUUCACGCCGUCAGAAUGGCAGUUAUCAAGAACACAAACAACAAUAAGUAUUGGUGAAGAUGUCGGGAAAAAGGCACAUUCAUACAUGGCUGGUGGGACUGCGAAUUGGUGCAACCAAUCUGGAAAGCAGUAUGGAGAUUCCUUAGAAAAUUGGAAUGGAACCACCAUUUGACCCAGCUAUGCCACUCCUGGGUUUAUACCCAGAGGACUUAAAAACAGCAUACUACAGGGACACAGCCACAUCAAUGUUUAUAGCAGCUUAAUUCAUAAUAGCUAAACUGUGGAAGCAAACUAGAUGCCCUUCAGUAGAUGAAUGGAUAAAGAAACUGUGGUAUAUAUACACCUUGGAAUAUUAUUCAGCAUUAAAAGAGAAUAAAAUUAUGGCAUUUGCAGAUAAAUGGACAAAGUUGGAAAAUAUCAUGCUAAGUGAAGUAAGCCAAUCCCAAAAAACCAAAGACCGAAUGUUCUCUUGGAUAAGUGGGUGCUGAUCCAUAAUGGGGAGGGGCAUGAGGAAAAUGGAGUAACUCUGGGCAAAGGGGAGGGACAGGUGGGGAGGAGGCAUGGGGGCAGGAAAGAUGGUGGAAUGAGGUGGACAUCAUUACCCUAGGUACAUGUAUGACUACACCUAUGGUGUAACACUAUGUCAUGUACAACCAGAGAAAUGAAAAGUUGUGCUGCAAUUGUGAAUCAAAAUACAUUCUGCUGUCAUGUAUACCUAAUUUAAAUAAAUAAAUAAAUAAAUAAAAUAAUACCAGGAGCAGGAGGAGGGGAGGGAAAGUGAAGAUAAGGGGAUGAGAGUGAUCAAAUUUUAUGUGCAUGUACAAAUAUAACCCAAUGAUUCCCACUAUUAUGUUUACUUAUCAUGUACCAAUUUUUCUUUAAAAGGCAAGUGACAAAGGAUGUUGACUGAAUUAACACAUCACUAUAGAAAUAAGAGAUGGAAAAUAAAGCACCCAUCAGGUGGUCCCUCUGUGCCU
This 2468-nucleotide long non-coding RNA is filed under the name Marmota monax (woodchuck). Lineage: Eukaryota; Metazoa; Chordata; Mammalia; Rodentia; Sciuridae. The record is from RNAcentral.